This 477-nucleotide ribosomal RNA is filed under the name uncultured bacterium. RNAcentral's name for it is "bacterial SSU rRNA". It matches the Rfam family "Bacterial small subunit ribosomal RNA", at positions 28 to 488 of the family's 1533-position model. The record is from RNAcentral.
GAUGAACGCUGGCGGCAUGCCUAAUACAUGCAAGUCGAACGAGAGGAAGGAAAGCUUGCUUUUCUGAAUCUAGUGGCGAACGGGUGAGUAACACGUAGGUAACCUGCCCAUGUGCCCGGGAUAACUUCUGGAAACGGAUGCUAAAACCGGAUAGGUAGCAGACAAGCAUUUGACUGCUAUUAAAGUGGCCUUGGCCAUGAACAUGGAUGGACCUGCGGUGCAUUAGCUGGUUGGUGAGGUAACGGCCCACCAAGGCGACGAUGCAUAGCCGGCCUGAGAGGGCGGACGGCCACAUUGGGACUGAGACACGGCCCAAACUCCUACGGGAGGCAGCAGUAGGGAAUUUUCGUCAAUGGGGGGAACCCUGAACGAGCAAUGCCGCGUGAGUGAGGAAGGUCUUCGGAUCGUAAAGCUCUGUUGUAAGAGAAAAACGGCACUCAUAGGGAAUGAUGAGUGAGUGAUGGUAUCUUACCAGAA